AUGGAUCUUCUCCAGUUUGUGCUCAACUUUAAAGGCACACCACCAUGGCUGAACUCGACGGCCAUUACCGCCCUUACGGACCGUUGGAGGCUAGAGACGCACUCUUUUCACCUUGCUCUUGGUCAGAUGACCAUCACUUUGGAGGAUAUUGUGAUGAUCUGCGGUCUUCCGAUCGAGGGCAGGGCUCUUACCGGGAAGGUAAAGUCCGAGGGGUGGCGACAAAGGGUUGCAGGUUUGGUUGGUGUUGAACCUCCCCCGUGGAUUCAUGGAACAAAGAAGGAUCCUAGGCCAUCUGGUGUUUUGUUCUCGUGGCUACAAGAUCAUUUUUACGAGUGCCUAGAGAAUGCUAGUCCGGCUGUUGUGGAGAGGUGUGCCAGGGCUUACUUAUGGAAUCUUUUG
Molecule: ribosomal RNA, 399 nt
Filed under: Triticum aestivum (bread wheat)
Lineage: Eukaryota; Viridiplantae; Streptophyta; Magnoliopsida; Poales; Poaceae
Description: partial small subunit ribosomal RNA
Source: RNAcentral